CUACGGGUUGCUCCAGUGGGGAAUAUUGCACAAUGGACGAAAGUCUGAUGCAGCAACGCCGCGUGGAGGAUGACACAUUUCGGUGCGUAAACUCCUUUUAUAUAAGAAGAUAAUGACGGUAUUAUAUGAAUAAGCACCGGCUAACUCCGUGCCAGCAGCCGCGGUAAUACGGGGGGUGCAAGCGUUACUCGGAAUCACUGGGCGUAAAGCGCAUGUAGGCGGACUUGUAAGUUGGAAGUGAAAUCCUAUGGCUCAACCAUAGAACUGCUUCCAAAACUGCUUGUCUAGAAUAUGGGAGAGGUAGAUGGAAUUUCUGGUGUAGGGGUAAAAUCCGUAGAGAUCAGAAGGAAUACCGAUUGCGAAGGCGAUCUACUGGAACACUAUUGACGCUCAGAUGCGAAAGCGUGGGGAGCAAACAGGAUUAGAUACCCGCGUAGUC
This 439-nucleotide ribosomal RNA is filed under the name uncultured bacterium. RNAcentral describes it as "partial 16S ribosomal RNA". It matches the Rfam family "Bacterial small subunit ribosomal RNA", at positions 339 to 795 of the family's 1533-position model. The record is from RNAcentral.